AUAUCUUUCCUUUAAAUUGUUCCACAAUAUGAGGGGAUCUUUGAUCGUAAGGUACUUCAUUUUUAACCCUUCGUCAAGAUGAUGACGAAGAAAUAUCAUGGCCUUGGCCUUAUCUUGUUCAGAUGCCUUAUUAUCCUUUUUAAUGGUGUCAGACCUAUUGCAUUUAGAUGUAUUUCUGCGUCUAGUGCCCAGAACAUAUAAGUUUU
This 206-nucleotide long non-coding RNA is filed under the name Capsicum annuum. RNAcentral's name for it is "long non-coding RNA (CANN_LNC016407)". The record is from RNAcentral. Lineage: Eukaryota; Viridiplantae; Streptophyta; Magnoliopsida; Solanales; Solanaceae.